UCACGUCUUACGACGGCAGUUUCACUAGAGUUCCCAGCGUUACCUGAUGGCAACUAGUGAUGGGGGUUGCGCUCGUUGCGGGACUUAACCCAACAUCUCACGACACGAGCUGACGACAGCCAUGCAGCACCUCGACUCCACCCCCUUGCGGGGUACCGGUAUUUCUACCGGCGUUGAGAAGCCGUUCGAGCCUAGGUAAGGUUCUUCGCGUUGCAUCGAAUUAAGCCACAUACUCCACCGCUUGUGCAGGCCCCCGUCAAUUUCUUUGAGUUUUAAUCUUGCGACCGUACUUCCCAGGCGGCUUAUUUAUCGCGUUUGCUACGCCACGAAAGGGGUCGAUUCCUCUCACAGCAAAUAAGCACCGUUUACAGCUAGGACUAC
RNAcentral lists this unclassified non-coding RNA (381 nucleotides) under uncultured bacterium. Its description in RNAcentral is "contains 16S-23S intergenic spacer region". The record is from RNAcentral.